This 397-nucleotide ribosomal RNA is filed under the name uncultured Neocallimastigomycetes. Its description in RNAcentral is "eukaryotic LSU rRNA". It matches the Rfam family "Eukaryotic large subunit ribosomal RNA", at positions 127 to 521 of the family's 3401-position model. The record is from RNAcentral. Lineage: Eukaryota; Fungi; Neocallimastigomycota; Neocallimastigomycetes.
GUUCUACCUUGACGAAUUGUAGUUUAAAGAAGUGUUUUCUGUUAGAUGAGUAGCAAAAGUUCCUUGGAAUGGGACAUCAUAGAGGGUGAGAAUCCCGUAUUUGGUUAUUCAUUCUAGCUUUGUGAUACACUUUCAAAGAGUCGGAUUGUUUGGGAAUGCAGUCCAAAAUGGGUGGUAAAUUUCAUCUAAAGCUAAAUAUUGGCGAGAGACCGAUAGCGAACAAGUACCGUGAGGGAAAGAUGAAAAGAACUUUGAAAAGAGAGUUAAACAGUACGUGAAAUUGUCAAAAGGGAAGCGUUUGACACCAGUGUUGUUUUUCCGAAAAUCAAUUACGAAUGGCUUGAUUUUGUGUUGUAUUGGCCUUAUCAGCUUUCUUCACUUUUUUCGAGUCUUUCUU